RNAcentral lists this long non-coding RNA (326 nucleotides) under Musa acuminata (dwarf banana). RNAcentral describes it as "long non-coding RNA (MACU_LNC005357)". The record is from RNAcentral. Lineage: Eukaryota; Viridiplantae; Streptophyta; Magnoliopsida; Zingiberales; Musaceae.
UUUCCUUUUCCUUUGAGAUCUUCUCAAAUAUGCCAAUUGUGAUUGUUCUACAAGAUCAUCAGCGGCGACAUCAACAUCAUGUGAGAGUUCUUGGAUGUUAUUUUGUUGUUCACCCUCAUCAAUACUCUCAUUGAUUUGAGGAAAAAUAAUAUCUCGGACAGGAGAUGAUAUGGGAGAAUUAACCUGAAUCUCCUCAAUAUCAAAAUUAACCUGAAUCUCCUCAAUAUCAAAAUUAACCCUUCGAGAUUUUUCACUCCCACUGAUUUCGCCAUUUUCUAGGAAUUUUGCAUUACCAGAUUCUACUAUUCUUAUACUAUGAUUAGGGC